Octopus sinensis (East Asian common octopus) is the source of this 246-nucleotide long non-coding RNA. RefSeq lists it as uncharacterized. Lineage: Eukaryota; Metazoa; Mollusca; Cephalopoda; Octopoda; Octopodidae. The record is from RefSeq and is a predicted model, not a curated record. The transcript has 3 exons.
ACACACACACACACAUUGUUUUAACAACUUUCCCAGUAAGAGUGAUUUCUCUUCGAUCUUUCUGCAUUUUCAUCUCAAUUGGUGUUCACAGUGGUUGUCACAACGUGGAGGGGCUUGACACAAGCUUACGUUUCUGACAACACAUGUACACACAUCAGGGCAGAAAUCGUAAGAAAUUAUCCAGGCUGGAAAUGCAAAAAUAUGGGAAUUGGAAAUUUAACAACUUUUUAUAUAUAUAUAUAUAUA